RNAcentral lists this small RNA (274 nucleotides) under Otolemur garnettii (small-eared galago). RNAcentral's name for it is "Metazoan signal recognition particle RNA (ENSOGAG00000026749.1)". Lineage: Eukaryota; Metazoa; Chordata; Mammalia; Primates; Galagidae. The record is from RNAcentral.
GCCGGGCGUUGUGGUGGGCGCCUAUGGUCCCAGCUACUUGGGAGGCUGAGGUAAGAGGAUCGCCUGAGCCCAGGAGUUGGAGGUUGCUGUGACGCCAUGGCACUCUACCAAGGGUGAUAAAGUGAGACCCUGUCUCUAAAAAAAAAAAAAAGUUCACAAUAUUAAUAACUGCCUUUUUUUUUAGACAGGGUCUCACUAUGUUGCCCUUGGUAGAGUGUCGUGGCAUCACAGCUCAUAGCAACCUCAAACUCUUGGGCUUAAGUGAUUCUCUUGC